AUGUUCUCUACAGCUCUGCUGCUCCUGCUGGCAGCUGCUUCCUGUGUUCACUGUAUUGAACUGACUCAGCCUGGAUCCAUGAUAGUCCGAACAGGUCAGGCUCUGAUCAUCAACUGUAAAAUUUCAUAUACAGUUAGAAGUGAUUAUACAGCCUGGAUCAGACAACCUGCAGGAAAAGCUCUGGAGUGGAUUGGGCGCAUCCGCAUACCUGGUAGCAUAGAAUACAGUAAUGAACUGAAAAACAAGUUCACCAUCUCCAGUCCUGAAACUAACACAAUAACAUUACAAGGACAGAACCUGCAGACUGAAGAUACAGCUGUGUAUUACUGCGCACGAGGCUCACAGUGA
Molecule: non-coding RNA, 348 nt
Organism: Astyanax mexicanus (Mexican tetra)
Lineage: Eukaryota; Metazoa; Chordata; Actinopteri; Characiformes; Acestrorhamphidae
Source: the annotation of a RefSeq genome assembly